UGAAACUAUUUCAGCUGCAUG
RNAcentral lists this non-coding RNA (21 nucleotides) under Caenorhabditis elegans. Lineage: Eukaryota; Metazoa; Nematoda; Chromadorea; Rhabditida; Rhabditidae. The record is from RNAcentral.